AAAACCUUAAGUUAAUAAAACUAUUAACCUUCAAAGUUAAAAAUAUAAAUUAAAUUUUUUAGGUUUUA
Molecule: transfer RNA, 68 nt
Filed under: Rhagovelia reitteri
Lineage: Eukaryota; Metazoa; Arthropoda; Insecta; Hemiptera; Veliidae
Also listed under: 1 other name
Description: tRNA-Trp
Rfam family: tRNA
About the family: Transfer RNA (tRNA) molecules are approximately 80 nucleotides in length. Their secondary structure includes four short double-helical elements and three loops (D, anti-codon, and T loops).
Source: RNAcentral